ACACCUACAAGCAGACAGAAGCGGAGAGAAAUAUGAUUUAUAAACAUACACAAAAUUGUAUCUGUCUGUAUAUAUGUACACAAGGAUGGAAAAGUUAAAAACUAAAAACAGAUAAUUGCAUCACUACAAUAAUUAUUAUUUGUAUUUGUGAAAAAAUCAUUUCAUGCUAACCAAAUUACGCCAGCUGCACCUGAACCCACAGGCGCACGUGAGCACGUCUCCAUGACAGCAUGCAAGAGCUUAUGUGAUGGUAAUGAAUGUUUUAAAAUACAAAUUGUUUAUUUGGCUUAAACCAAUCUACAUGGAGGCAAUUAUAUUUCGAAACAACCCUUUGCGCAAGUAGCUCGAACGAAUGCAAGGGGCGAUGCAAUUCGCAAAGUCGACAGAAGGUGACGACAUUUUACAAGAUUCUACAGCCAAAGGCACGAAAAGGGACACGAUGGAGAACAGUCUGAAGGUCUGGGGUACGGGAAAGAAAUGAAUGAAACGGAGGUGGGAACUCUACGGGGGAGAGUUCUCCUCUGGCUUCGGGCGUUUGAAGCGCAGUGCGCCGGCGAACGCUCGGAAACGCGGGCCGUGGAAACGGACGUCGCGCUCGGAGCCGAAUGGACGAACGGAGGGAGCGGCGUUCGUAAAGAAACAGUUUUGAGUUUUGUCGACUGUUUGGGAACUGCACGAGCUGCACCCCGUACGGCACUCAUGACAGCGCACUGGGAACACUGACUGGGCUCUGGCUUCGUGCAGAUGAAUGCAAUGCAUCUCAGCCCGGUCGCUGUUUACAGGCGUCGUCCAGGUGAAUUAAACAAGGACGUUAAAGGGAUAGUGGGAUGGUUCGCUUUGUUUUUAACGCCGUAUUAUCCGCGCACCGUACGUUUAUGACUUGCCCAGACGGUUGUUGCGUGUCACUAAGGAUUGUAAAUAUUUUCAGGUGUUUCCGGCAACCUGCCAGCUUUACAGUUCUACAGGAAAUUCAGGGAUUCCUGGCCCAAAGCAAGAAAGUACACCUCGGGAACCUCCUUGUGCAGCUUUAACACCCACCGUGUCUUUACAGGAAAACUGUCGGGGCCUAUCGAAAACUUGCACUAAAACUGAAAUAAUGUAGAACAAACUCCAGUGCGUGAACUAUCCCUUUAAACACAUUGUCCCACUUAAACUACUGAAACGGGAAGGAGCCUUAAUUAUUUCCCUGCAUACAGUGUCAUUUUUCACUGCCAGUCCUGAUUCAAAAUACACUCGGAACAUUAGCAAUAUUGGUUCUUUCCUUAGUAAGAAAAUUUCAUCAUUAAACUAUGUCUACCUGAAGGACAAAUGAACAAUUUAAAAUGCAAAACAUCUCAUGAAGCCAAAAACAUUUGAAACAUUUGCCUUUUAUGAUAUAUAUUUGAUUCCUUUGGACAUUAUCAAAAAUGUAUCAAAGAUUUAAAAUAAAGAGCUUAUAUCAUGAAUUGGAAAAAUGAUUCAAAUAGAUGCAAGCAAAUUCAGAUUGUUAAUUCCAAUCCAAAAUUGUCAGAUCAAAAUAAAGGAAAAAUUUUAAAUUUCUAUGUGAAGUUCUAUAUGUCAGGCUUCUAUCAAACAGAAGGAAGUUUGCUUAAAUAGAUGGCUGGAUGACUUGCAUACACAUGUUCAUUUUAUCACGUUAGAUCAUUUCCAAUAAUAUAAAAGUUAAUUCAUUUUGUGUCACAGGCACUGAUAUUUCUCAUAUGCCUUAAUAGUCAUCCUCUAUUGUGCAUUACUGUCAGUGAGCAUUUAUGGGUAUUACUUUCAUAAAUAAAAAAAAAAGUAAAAUCUGUCAAACUGUAUGCUGUUACUGUUGAGCGAUGUGUUUCUGCCACAUUUUUAGGCAAGUUAAAGAGUAGAAUAGAUAAUCGCAUGCCAGUAGCCAAGAACACGGAUCCAACAGCACACGCGCAUGCAGUUAGCUUUCAUCACUGGACUGCUGGAUGAUAAUGUGGGUACUGCAGUGGGGCAACGGUGGUGAUAGGAGCAGGCUGUGCUGGCGUCUCGCUGGGAGAGGACUGGCGGACUAUAAAAGGCCCAGUGCAGUAUAGAAUACUAGCCUGGCUAACC
This is a long non-coding RNA of Anguilla rostrata (American eel), 2067 nucleotides long. RefSeq lists it as uncharacterized. NCBI's taxonomy places the organism in Eukaryota, Metazoa, Chordata, Actinopteri, Anguilliformes, Anguillidae. The transcript is spliced from 3 exons. The record is from RefSeq and is a predicted model, not a curated record.